This 497-nucleotide ribosomal RNA is filed under the name uncultured bacterium. Its description in RNAcentral is "partial 16S ribosomal RNA". It matches the Rfam family "Bacterial small subunit ribosomal RNA", at positions 28 to 507 of the family's 1533-position model. The record is from RNAcentral.
GAUGAACGCUGGCGGCGUGCCUAAUACAUGCAAGUCGAGCGAACGGACGAUAAGCUUGUUUCUCUGAUGUUAGCGGCGGACGGGUGAGUAACACGUGGAUAACCUACCUAUAUGACUGGUAUAACUUCGGGAAACCGGCGCUAAUACCGGAUAAUCUUCUGAACCGCAUGGUUCAAUAGUGAAAGACGGUCUUGCUGUCACUUAUCGAUGGAUCCGCGCUGCAUUAGCUAGUUGGUAAGGUAACGGCUUAUCAAGGCAACGAUGCAUAGCCGACCUGUGAGGGUGAUCGGCCACACUGGAACUGAGACGCGGUCCAGACUCCUACGGGAGGCAGCAGUAGGGAAUCUUCCGCAAUGGGCGGAAGCCUUACGGAGCAAGGCCGCGUGAGUGAUGAAGGUCUUCGGAUCGUAAAACUCUGUUAUUAGGUAAGAACAUAUGUGUAAGUAGCUGUGCACAUCUUGACGGUACCUAAUCAGAAAGCCACGGCUAACUACGUG